This 1360-nucleotide long non-coding RNA is filed under the name Monodelphis domestica (gray short-tailed opossum). Its description in RNAcentral is "lncRNA (ENSMODG00000033268.2)". The record is from RNAcentral. Lineage: Eukaryota; Metazoa; Chordata; Mammalia; Didelphimorphia; Didelphidae.
CGGGAAAUUUCAAAACACGGCUUUGAAGUGUAUUAUGGCCAUAAGAGUGGUCUUUAGUGCCACCUAGAGGAAUAAAGGGAACAUGACAUGUGAGCCACUCGGAGGAAAAUUAAAUACAGCUGAAUAAUUGAAUGAGGGGGCAAGUUGAAUCAGGGGUCACCAUCUGUUUGACUAGAAUUGUUGGCACAUUUCAGCUAAGCCUCACGCGCAUCAUAAACAUGCUUACAGUUAUCAUAGCUCGCAUUGCCCUAAAAUAAAAGAAAAUUGGUCCUAAAAUAAGCUUGAACUAAUUAAACGUAUACCAUGGUGUUGUCAUGGAUACAGGAGGGAAGGUCACCAGAUUCUCAUGGCACCGGGAAGGGUGGCCGAGCCAAACAGAGACAGGAAAAGGAAUUAAUGAGUAACACUCAACAGGCAUGCAGAGUUCAUAGAAAGGAGACCAGAGAUUUAACCAGCUGAUGACUAGAAAGAAAGAAUGUGAAGAAGUUUAACGUCUGAGAAUGCUGUAGCUACUGAGGAUUAUAAAGCCCCAUUAAGAUGAUGGGAUGCUGAAGAGAGAAGCAUUUUAUUAGGAGGGGGGAAAGGCACAGUGGGAAGAGCCUUGGGCUAGAAGUCAGGAAGAUUAGAUUCUAGCUCUGACUCUAUGACUAAAAAAGCUGGAUGUCUUUGGGUAAGUCACUGCAAUUCUCUGGGUCUCAAGUCCUCCCUUUGAUAAAUAAGAAGACUGCAUUAGACAGUGGCUGGCUUCUAGAAUCACGGAGUCUGGAAGCUGUAUAAGAAGGGACCUGCAGUUGUUUAGUGGCCAUAAGAUCUUACACACCAUUAAGUGCAAAAAUAAUAAUGGCAGUCCAUUACAACUACACCACCACUCCUCCCCAAAAUAGGACAUGCUUUAUUUAGUUUAACACAAUGCAGCCCUGCCUGUAUGAUAAUAGACUGCUGAGUGUGUGGUGGAGAGGGCUCUGGACUUGAGAAUCAGGAAGACCCAAACCCUGCCUGAGACGCUGACUAGCUCUUUGGAAAGUCACUUCAUUUUUCUGUCUCCUUUUCCUUAUCUAUAACACAGGGUGAUAGUGAGGAUCAAAUGGAAUCACUUAGGCAAAACAUUUAGCAAACCUUCGGUUAUUCCACAAAUGCUAACUAUUCUAUGCUCACUCAUCUCAGCCUCAGUUUCCUCCUCUGUGAAACUAUAAUAACAAUAGCUUCACAUUGGGUUGUUGUGAGGAUCAGAUGAGAUGAUAUAUAGAAAGUGCUUUGUGGACUUCUAAGCACUCUAUAAAUGCUAGUUUCCGCUGGGCUAUUGCUAUCGCUGCCUCUACUACUACCACCACUACCACCACCAUUACUACUCAAUUCUUAG